RNAcentral lists this ribosomal RNA (440 nucleotides) under uncultured bacterium. Its description in RNAcentral is "partial 16S ribosomal RNA". It matches the Rfam family "Bacterial small subunit ribosomal RNA", at positions 338 to 795 of the family's 1533-position model. The record is from RNAcentral.
CCUACGGGAGGCCGCAGUGGGGAAUUUUGCACAAUGGGGGAAACCCUGAUGCAGCUACUCCGCGUGAGUGAAGAAGUAAUUCGUUAUGUAAAGCUCUAUCAGCAGGGAAGAAAAUGACGUUACCUGAAUAAGAAGCCCCUGCUAAAUACGUACCAGCAGCCGCGGUAUUACUUAGUGGGCGAGCGUUCGCCGGAUUUACUGGGUGUAAAGGGAGCGUAGACGGCAGUGCAAGACUGGAGUGAAAGGCGGGGUCUCAACCCCCGGAAGACUCUGGAAACUGUACGGCUGGAGUGCCGGAGAGGUAAGUGGAAUUCCUAGUGUAGCAGUGAAAUGCGUAGAUAUUAGGAGGAACACCAGUGGCGAAGGCGGCUUACUGGACUGUAACUGACGUUGAGGCUCGAAAGCGUGGGGAGCAAACAGGAUUAGAUACCCCGGUAGUC